CACGUAGGGCGCAAGCGUUGUCCGGAAUUAUUGGGCGUAAAGAGCUCGUAGGCGGUCUGUCGCGUCUGCUGUGAAAACUCGGGGCUUAACCUCGAGAUGUCAUCGGAAACCAUUUGGCUAGAGUCCGGAAGAGGAGAGUGGAAUUCCUGGUGUAGCGGUGAAAUGCGCAGAUAUCAGGAAGAACACCAAUGGCGAAAGCAGCUCUCUGGGACGGUACUGACGCUGAGACGCGAAAGCGUGGGGAGCGAACAGG
Molecule: ribosomal RNA, 253 nt
Filed under: uncultured bacterium
Lineage: Bacteria
Description: partial 16S ribosomal RNA
Rfam family: Bacterial small subunit ribosomal RNA
Source: RNAcentral